This 119-nucleotide ribosomal RNA is filed under the name Candidatus Raymondbacteria bacterium RIFOXYD12_FULL_49_13. The record is from RNAcentral. Lineage: Bacteria; Candidatus Raymondiibacteriota.
CAUGUCGUCGUAGGGGCGAUUCAUGAACACCCGAUCCCAUUCCGAACUCGGAAGUUAAGCCCUCCAGCGCCGAUGGUACUGCAGGGGUGACUCUGUGGGAGAGUAGGACAUCGCCGGGU